AAUGCGUAGAUAUCGGGAGGAACACCAGUGGCGAAGGCGGCCUACUGGGCACUAACUGACGCUGAGGCUCGAAAGCAUGGGUAGCAAACAGGAUUAGAUACCCUGGUAGUCCAUGCCGUAAACGAUGAUUACUAGGUGUGGGAGGAUUGACCCCUUCCGUGCCGCAGUUAACACAAUAAGUAAUCCACCUGGGGAGUACGACCGCAAGGUUGAAACUCAAAGGAACUGACGGGGGCCCGCACAAGCAGUGGAGUAUGUGGUUUAAUUCGAAGCAACGCGAAGAACCUUACCAGGUCUUGACAUCCCGUGCAUAGUCUAGAGAUAGAUGAAGUCCUUCGGGACACGGAGACAGGUGGUGCAUGGUUGUCGUCAGCUCGUGUCGUGAGAUGUUGGGUUAAGUCCCGCAACGAGCGCAACCCUUAUCGUUAGUUACUACGCAAGAGGACUCUAGCGAGACUGCCGUUGACAAAACGGAGGAAGGUGGGGAUGACGUCAAAUCAUCAUGCCCUUUAUGACCUGGGCUACACACGUACUACAAUGGCAAUUAACAAAGAGAAGCGAAACCGCGAGGUGGAGCAAACCUCAUAAAAAUUGUCUCAGUUCAGAUUGCAGGCUGCAACUCGCCUGCAUGAAGUCGGAAUUGCUAGUAAUCGCGGAUCAGCAUGCCGCGGUGAAUACGUUCCCGGGCCUUGUACACACCGCCCGUCACACCAUGAGAGCCGGGGGGACCNNNNNNNNNUAGCCUAACCGCAAGGAGGGCGCGGCCGAAGGUAAAACUGGUGAUUGGGGUAAGGUCGUAACAAGGUAACCA
RNAcentral lists this ribosomal RNA (811 nucleotides) under uncultured bacterium. RNAcentral describes it as "bacterial SSU rRNA". It matches the Rfam family "Bacterial small subunit ribosomal RNA", at positions 685 to 1502 of the family's 1533-position model. The record is from RNAcentral.